Molecule: ribosomal RNA, 468 nt
Filed under: uncultured bacterium
Lineage: Bacteria
Description: partial 16S ribosomal RNA
Rfam family: Bacterial small subunit ribosomal RNA
Source: RNAcentral
GACGAACGCUGGCGGCGUGCUUAACACAUGCAAGUCGAACGGAAAGGCCCUGCUUUUGUGGGGUGCUCGAGUGGCGAACGGGUGAGUAACACGUGAGUAACCUGCCCUUGACUUUGGGAUAACUUCAGGAAACUGGGGCUAAUACCGGAUAGGAGCCCCUGCUGCAUGGUGGGGGUUGGAAAGUUUCGGCGGUUGGGGAUGGACUCGCGGCUUAUCAGCUUGUUGGUGGGGUAGUGGCUUACCAAGGCUUUGACGGGUAGCCGGCCUGAGAGGGUGACCGGCCACAUUGGGACUGAGAUACGGCCCAGACUCCUACGGGAGGCAGCAGUGGGGAAUAUUGCACAAUGGGCGGAAGCCUGAGGCAGCAACGCCGCGUGCGGGACGACGGCCUUCGGGUUGUAAACCGCUUUCGCCUGUGACGAAGCGUGAGUGACGGUAAUGGGUAAAGAAGCACCGGCUAACUACGUG